UCAAGUGACUAAGUGCAUGCGGCGGAUGCCUUGGCGAUCACAGGCGAAGAAAGACGCGGCAGCCUGCGAAAAGCUGCGGGGAGCUGGCAAACGAGCUUUGAUCCGCAGAUAUCUGAAUGGGGGAACCCACACCGCAAGGUGUAUCCGUAGCUCAAUACAUAGGUUACGGAGGCGAACGAGGAGAACUGAAACAUCUAAGUAUCCUCAGGAAAAGAAAUCAACCGAGAUUCCGGCAGUAGCGGCGAGCGAACCCGGAGGAGCCUAGCUUUUGAUAGUACGAACUUUAGCCGAAAGGUCCUGGAAAGGCCUGCUAUAGUGGGUGAUAGCCCCGUAGGCGAAAGAGUUGGUACGGUACUAAGGAAGCGAGAAGUAGAGCGGGACACGUGGAAUCCUGUUCGAAGACGGGGGGACCAUCCUCCAAGGCUAAAUACUCGUGAUCGACCGAUAGUGAACCAGUACCGUGAGGGAAAGGCGAAAAGAACCCCGGGAGGGGAGUGAAAUAGAACCUGAAACCGCAUGCAUACAAACAGUAGGAGCCUUUACGGAGGUGACUGCGUACCUUUUGCAUAAUGGGUCAGCGACUUACAUUCUGUGGCGAGCUUAACCGAAUAGGGGAGGCGCAGCGAAAGCGAGUUCGAAAUGAGCGUCCAGUCGCAGGGUGUAGACCCGAAACCAGAUGAGCUAUCCAUGGCCAGGUUGAAGGUGUGGUAACACACACUGGAGGACCGAACCGACUAGUGUUGCAAAAUUAGCGGAUGAGCUGUGGAUAGGGGUGAAAGGCCAAACAAAUCUGGAGAUAGCUGGUUCUCCCCGAAAACUAUUGAGGUAGUGCCUCGUGUGUCGCUCCAGGGGGUAGAGCACUGUUUUGGCUAGGGGGACAUGGAGUCUUACCAAACCAAGGCAAACUCCGAAUACCUGGAAGCGUAAGCACGGGAGACAGAGCACCGGGUGCUAACGUCCGGACUCAAAAGGGAAACAACCCAGACCGCCGGCUAAGGUCCCAAAUAACAGCUAAGUGGAAAACGAAGUGGAAAGGCCGUGACAACCAGGAAGUUGGCUUAGAAGCAGCCAUCCUUCAAAGAAAGCGUAAUAGCUCACUGGUCGAGUCCUUCUGCGCGGAAGAUGUAACGGGGCUAAGCUGUUAACCGAAGCCGCGGAUGCGCUGGUUAUCCAGUGCGUGGUAGGGGAGCGUUCUGUAAGUCUGCGAAGGCGGUUCGAGAGGACUGCUGGAGAUAUCAGAAGUGCGAAUGCUGACAUGAGUAACGUUAAAGCAGGUGAAAAGCCUGCUCGCCGUAAGCCCAAGGAUUCCUGCUCUACGUUCAUCGGAGCAGGGUGAGUCGGCUCCUAAGGUCAGGCCGAAAGGCGUAGCCGAUGGGAAUCAGGUUAAUAUUCCUGAACCUGCGUCAGAUGCGAUGGGGGGACGGAGCAUGGAAGAUCAUCCGGGUGUUGGAAGUCCCGGUUGUUGAGCGUAGGAGGUCUGCAGGCAAAUCCGCAGACGCAUCUCCAAGGCAAAGACACGUGCCGCCACGGCGGCGAAGUGAUCGGAAGUGCUUCCAAGAAAAGCCUCUAAGCCCCAGUCUGAUGCGGACCGUACCGCAAACCGACACUGGUGGGCGAGCUGAAUAUGCUCAGGCGCUUGAGAGAACUCGGGAGAAGGAACUCGGCAAAUUGACACCGUAACUUCGGAAGAAGGUGUGCCGUAGUACCGUGAGAGGAGAGACACCUUGAGCGGGAAACGGUCUCAGAGAAUAGGUGGCUGCGACUGUUUAUUAAAAACACAGCACUCUGCAAAGUCGAAAGACGACGUAUAGGGUGUGAUGCCUGCCCGGUGCUGGAAGAUUAAUUGAUGGGGUGAGAGCCCUUGAUCGAAGUCCCAGUAAACGGCGGCCGUAACUAUAACGGUCCUAAGGUAGCGAAAUUCCUUGUC
Molecule: ribosomal RNA, 1927 nt
Filed under: human gut metagenome
Description: bacterial LSU rRNA
Rfam family: Bacterial large subunit ribosomal RNA
Source: RNAcentral